GACGAACGCUGGCGGCGUGCUUAGCACAUGCAAGUCGAACGGAAAGGCCCUGCUUUUGUGGGGUGCUCGAGUGGCGAACGGGUGAGUAACACGUGAGUAACCUGCCCUUGACUUUGGGAUAACUUCAGGAAACUGGGGCUAAUACCGGAUAGGAGCUCCUGCUGCAUGGUGGGGGUUGGAAAGUUUCGGCGGUUGGGGAUGGACUCGCGGCUUAUCAGCUUGUUGGUGGGGUAGUGGCUUACCAAGGCUUUGACGGGUAGCCGGCCUGAGAGGGUGACCGGCCACAUUGGGACUGAGAUACGGCCCAGACUCCUACGGGAGGCAGCAGUGGGGAAUAUUGCACAAUGGGCGGAAGCCUGAUGCAGCAACGCCGCGUGCGGGAUGAAGGCCUUCGGGUUGUAAACCGCUUUCGCCUGUGACGAAGCGUGAGUGACGGUAAUGGGUAAAGAAGCACCGGCUAACUACGUG
This 468-nucleotide ribosomal RNA is filed under the name uncultured bacterium. RNAcentral describes it as "partial 16S ribosomal RNA". It matches the Rfam family "Bacterial small subunit ribosomal RNA", at positions 28 to 507 of the family's 1533-position model. The record is from RNAcentral.